RNAcentral lists this transfer RNA (74 nucleotides) under Candidatus Nomurabacteria bacterium. RNAcentral's name for it is "tRNA-Cys". It matches the Rfam family "tRNA". From Rfam's summary of the family: Transfer RNA (tRNA) molecules are approximately 80 nucleotides in length. Their secondary structure includes four short double-helical elements and three loops (D, anti-codon, and T loops). Lineage: Bacteria; Candidatus Nomuraibacteriota. The record is from RNAcentral.
GGCACCUUGGCGGAGUGGUUACGCGGAGGUCUGCAAAACCUUUUACGCCAGUUCAAUUCUGGCAGGUGCCUCCA